GAUGAACGCUAGCGGAAGGCCUAAUACAUGCAAGUCGAACGGAUAUAUUUACUUCGGUGAAUAUGUUAGUGGCGCACGGGUGAGUAACGCGUACACAACCUACCUUACAUUGGGGGAUAGCCCUGGGAAACUGGGAGUAAUACCGCAUAAUAUUAUUUGAAGGCAUCUUUGGAUAAUUAAAGCUGAGGCGAUGUAAGAUGGGUGUGCGUCUGAUUAGGUAGUUGGUAGGGUAACGGCCUACCAAGCCGACGAUCAGUAGGGGGUGUGAGAGCAUGGCCCCCCACACGGGUACUGAGACACGGACCCGACUCCUACGGGAGGCAGCAGUAAGGAAUAUUGGUCAAUGGUGGGAACACUGAACCAGCCAUUCCGCGUGAAGGAUGAAUGCCCUCUGGGUUGUAAACUUCUUUAGUCUGGGACGAAAAGCUUCAUUCAUGAAGAACUGACGGUACCAGAAGAAUAAGCACCGGCUAACUCCGUGCCAGCAGCCGCGGUAAAAUGCGUACU
This 507-nucleotide ribosomal RNA is filed under the name uncultured bacterium. RNAcentral's name for it is "bacterial SSU rRNA". It matches the Rfam family "Bacterial small subunit ribosomal RNA", at positions 28 to 533 of the family's 1533-position model. The record is from RNAcentral.